Molecule: RNase P RNA, 393 nt
Filed under: Beijerinckiaceae bacterium
Lineage: Bacteria; Pseudomonadati; Pseudomonadota; Alphaproteobacteria; Hyphomicrobiales; Beijerinckiaceae
Description: RNase P RNA component class A
Rfam family: Bacterial RNase P class A
About the family: Ribonuclease P (RNase P) is a ubiquitous endoribonuclease, found in archaea, bacteria and eukarya as well as chloroplasts and mitochondria. Its best characterised activity is the generation of mature 5'-ends of tRNAs by cleaving the 5'-leader elements of precursor-tRNAs.
Source: RNAcentral
CCAGCCGGCCGGACGGCCGCUCUCCUCACGGAGGGAGGAAAGUCCGGGCUCCAUGGAGACACGGUGCCGGAUAACGUCCGGCGGGGGUGACCCCAGGGAAAGCGCCACAGAGAACGAACCGCCCCGGAUCCGUCCGGGGUAAGGGUGAAAAGGUGCGGUAAGAGCGCACCGCGCGGCCGGCAACGGGCGCGGCAUGGCAAGCCCCACCGGGAGCAAGACCGAAUAGGGGCGACGAAGACCGAGGGUUCGCCCUCGGUUUGGGCCCGUCUCCGGGUCGUCGCCCGGGUUGGUUGCUUGAGGCGGCCGGUAACGGUCGUCCCAGAGGAAUGGCCGUCACGUGCGGGCCGAAAGGUUCGCGCCAUACAGAACCCGGCUUACAGGCCGGCUGGCAUC